Molecule: non-coding RNA, 602 nt
Filed under: uncultured Helotiales
Lineage: Eukaryota; Fungi; Ascomycota; Leotiomycetes; Helotiales
Also listed under: 2 other names
Description: eukaryotic LSU rRNA
Rfam family: 5.8S ribosomal RNA (bases 243-396)
Source: RNAcentral
CUUGGUCAUUUAGAGGAAGUAAAAGUCGUAACAAGGUUUCCGUAGGUGAACCUGCGGAAGGAUCAUUACAAGUGAGGCUACCGAACGUUGGAAACAGCGGUUAGGAGCUUACACCCACCCGUGUUUACAUACUAUUGUUGCUUUGGCGGGCCGUGGCCUCCACUGCGGGCUCUGCUCGUGUGUGCCCGCCAGAGAACCAAACUCUGAAUGUUAGUGAUGUCUGAGUACUAUCUAAUAGUUAAAACUUUCAACAACGGAUCUCUUGGUUCUGGCAUCGAUGAAGAACGCAGCGAAAUGCGAUAAGUAAUGUGAAUUGCAGAAUUCAGUGAAUCAUCGAAUCUUUGAACGCACAUUGCGCCCUGUGGUAUUCCGCAGGGCAUGCCUGUUCGAGCGUCAUUUAACCACUCACGCCUAGCGUGGUAUUGGGGCACGCGGUCUCCGCGGCCCUCAAAAUGAGUGGCGGCGCCGGUGGGCUCUAAGCGUAGUACAUACUCCCGCUAUAGAGUUCCCCCGGUGGCUCGCCAGAACCCCCAAUUUUUACAGGUUGACCUCGGAUCAGGUAGGGAUACCCGCUGAACUUAAGCAUAUCAAUAAGCGGAGGA